RNAcentral lists this ribosomal RNA (506 nucleotides) under uncultured bacterium. RNAcentral's name for it is "partial 16S ribosomal RNA". It matches the Rfam family "Bacterial small subunit ribosomal RNA", at positions 29 to 523 of the family's 1533-position model. The record is from RNAcentral.
AGUGAACGCUGGCGGUAGGCCUAACACAUGCAAGUCGAACGGCAGCACAGAGGAGCUUGCUCCUUGGGUGGCGAGUGGCGGACGGGUGAGGAAUACAUCGGAAUCUACUCUGUCGUGGGGGAUAACGUAGGGAAACUUACGCUAAUACCGCAUACGACCUACGGGUGAAAGCAGGGGACCUUCGGGCCUUGCGCGAUUGAAUGAGCCGAUGUCGGAUUAGCUAGUUGGCGGGGUAAAGGCCCACCAAGGCGACGAUCCGUAGCUGGUCUGCGAGGAUGAUCAGCCACCCUGGAACUGAGACACGGGCCAGACACCUACGGGAGGCAGCAGUGGGGGAUAUUGGACAAUGGGCGCAAGCCUGAUCCAGCCAUACCGCGUGGGUGAAGAAGGCCUUCGGGUUGUAAAGCCCUUUUGUUGGGAAAGAAAUCCAGCUGGCUAAUACCCGGUUGGGAUGACGGUACCCAAAGAAUAAGCACCGGCUAACUUCGUGCCAGCCGCCGCAGUAA